UCAUACUGAUUCCUCAUUGGCUCAAUUGUUUAUAAUGUCUCUGACCAUGAUGGAUGGUGCUACAUUGGUCUCUGCAACAAGACUUGUGAAAUAGAAACACAUUUGACCAGCUGUGGUACAUCAACUACCCCAGUUACUCCUACUUCACCAACCACUUCACAGCCCCCAACAACAACAGUUCCACAUGUAACAUAUCCAUCUGAGAAGAACUGUGACCAUGACCAUCCUCCAAGACAGAAUGGUGACAGCUGGAACAUAACCAAUGCACCAACGGAACAUGCGCCAACGGGAAGGUUAUUUAUGAGCAUGUACAUUGUGAGACUCCGAAGCCUAUAGCAUGUGAAAAUAACUAUCCUCCAAUCAAAGUGUAUGACGAAUCUGAUGCUGUUUCCACUA
Oncorhynchus keta (chum salmon) is the source of this 396-nucleotide long non-coding RNA. RefSeq lists it as uncharacterized. The record is from RefSeq and is a predicted model, not a curated record. NCBI's taxonomy places the organism in Eukaryota, Metazoa, Chordata, Actinopteri, Salmoniformes, Salmonidae. The transcript is spliced from 3 exons.